CAUUUGUUCAUAUUGGGUAAUUAGUUGAAAAACAAUAAAAUUGAUUUUGAUUUAGAAAAGUGGAAUAUAUCAAUAUUGAUUUUCUGGUAGGGCAUUUAUAACUUUUGAGAUAUUAAUCACUUUCAUUUUCAAAUAUGUUUUUACUUGUAACAUUGGAACUUGGUAAUUGUCUCUCGGAAACACAAAAUUAAUGUUCUUUCCUCCUUGACUUCAUAUCCCCCUCCCAAAAAAUUAAAAAUAAAAUAAAUAUGAAAUAUAGUCUGAAAUCAGAGGCAGUGGACCUGAACCAUCUCUUGUGAAGCCACAAGGACAUAUUAAGGUGAUAUUAAUUGUAAUUGGAGUGGAAAAAACCAUGAGAAAAACCAUUUGUACAGAAAAAAUGGUUGGCAUGCCUUUUAACAGAUACUCACAUUUUUUGUGGGACGCGCUGAAUAAAAUAUUUUGAAAAAGAAAAAGUGGGACCCCCAAUUGUGAGAAUCUGUCAACCACCAUAUCAUCCAUUUUUCUGAAAAUGUAGCAUCUCUCAAAAACCAUUUGUACCCAGGAGUGUACACGUCUCUCACAUGUGAAGGGGCCCCACGCCCAAUUAAUGCUCCCAGUCGACCUCCCAUGUAAGGGGCGUAUACACCGGAAUGUACACCUCCGUGUACGUGUAGCCGAACCCAAUUGGAGUUCAUGUAAUAAUUUUUGUUCUUUAGAUUCAUUCGCUGUGUUUACUUUAUUUUUGGUGUUUUGGAUAAUUUCCCUAUUGUUCUUUUUAAUUUCUAGACUAGAGAAAGCAUAGCUCGGAGAAAGAGUCCUGCUUCAAUACCUGUGGCUAUUCUUGAUCUUCAAUAUGGUUCCACUUCAAAACAAGAGAGUGAGAAAAAGAAGAUAGAGCUUUCUUGUGUAGUAAAAACCAAAUCAUCACCGUUGCUUGCUGCCUUUACAGAGUUACAAAAUCAUUUGCAGGUCUUAUGGAGGAUGCUUUCGAAAAAGUUUGGAAGGAUUUUAUUACAACUCUGUGUAAUAGUUGACAACAUUGGUUUGCUUGUUGUAUCCAUGAUUGUUAUCGCUACCUCUUUGAUUGAAUUGAGUCGUCUAUUCAUUUUUCUCAUAUAAUGUUGUUAAUCCAUAUAAAUCCACGAGGCUCUUAUUGACUGUAAAUUAUGUCAACAGAAGGUUAUGUGCUUUUUGGAAUUACUUUAAGUGGGAUUCAUGAUGCUGGGGUUCUUGAAGCUUCGUUUCGACAGCAUUGGUUAAAAGAAGGAAUUUUUGUUGUUCUCUUCACUACCUUGGAUGUAUUUGCACAAUUGGCCAGCUGAAUACAAAUCGGUGAGUUCCUUUUAAUUUGAAAAAUGUGUGGAAGUUAAUUAUUGGAUGUCUUAAUUAUUAAGUUCAGCAUACUUAAUGAAUGUUAAAUCUUAUUGCCAUUUAAUAAGUAGAAUUUGUAAAUUGAUUGGUUGAAGUGGUUUGAGAUGCUUAUUAACCAUGUAAUAAGGAAUUCGUUAUCCAAGCUGGUGAAGUUGACAGGCCUGAAACUACUGAAGAUUGGACCUCAAGGGGAAAACAUAAUCAGGUUGAUACUAGGUAUGAUUUACCUCAAAUUUCCAUAAGUUUUUUUUAAGUUGUUUAGUGUUUAAUGUCUCAUCGCUAUUGAAAUGUACUCAAUUAAUCAUGCUUACUCAGCUUGAAGCAUGAAGCUUUUAUGCUUGGUACUUCUAGCAAAAUAGGAUGGAACUGGAAAUCUUUUCAUUUCAACAACUUCAAUUGCAGAUGUAAAUGAGAAAAUUAGUGCUUUUGGAUAAGUUUUCAAGGGAUUAGAAGUUGUACAAGUCAAACAUUUUUGCUUAUUUUCAAUGUUAUUAUGCAUACAAUUUGUGCUUUUCUUCAUUAAGAGAACUGGAGUAGGCCUCCUAGCCUGUAAGUCACCAUUUAUCUGUUUCUUAUCCUAGAAUACUCUUGAGAAGGAAAUAAAUACCCCUCAACAUAAAUUUGGACUCAGCUCCAUCAAUCAUUUCAGCUCUCCAUUCAGUUGAUUGUUAUGCAACUAAAUUCUUAGUAACUUCAAGGGACCACAAGUUUUGUUCUACGUUAUAAAUGGGGGCCUCUUUAGGUCCAGGUAAGACAUGCCCCAACUCAGCUGUCAUUUUCUUAAUUUUUACUUUACUCGUUGGCUUGUAAUCUCGUUUCUUAUCUUAUACACCCACAUACUCAUUUCGACAUACUCAUUUUUCGCAACAUUUUUCAUUUGGUCAUUAGCAACCACACUCUCAAUAUGAUUUCCUAGUACUUUGUAUCUGAUUCUAUAUAUUUUAUUGAGAACACAUGGUGAAUACAGUUCUGUUUCUUGGAUAUUGUCACAAAAAUGAAGUGGACUUACUAAGAAAUAAGAAAGAAAUGACAAAUUACUUUCCUCCGUGGUAAAGAUUAUUUCCAAAUCCUCUAUGAUAGUUGACAAGUUUAGCAAUAUUUAUAAAUGCUAGAAUUAUCAUUUUGCUAUUAUUUGAAAAACCUGUUUGAUAUAUGUAACCACAAUUUAUAUGCAAGUACUAAUAAUUUACCCAAAAAAUGAGUAUAUCAAUAGAUAUUUGACGAGUGCAUGUGUGUGUAUACAUCUGAAACACUUCUCAGCAUUUAGGCCUUUGCAAUCAUGUUUGAUAACUCCGCAAACACCACAUUUGCGAAGUUUUGUGUACUCAAUGCACAGUUCUUUGCAUCAAACACCACUGUUGUUCCUUAUGUUUUUGGAAAGAGUUAUAGGACUGUGGCCCAGGGCUUGUAGCAGUUGUGUUGAUUGUCAUUUCCCCUGGUUACAUCUCAAGGUUGGUUGCAAGUUCACAUGAUAAUGAGGGGUUUGCUAAAUUUGCGCCGUUGCUCAAUUUCUAUUUAUUUGUCAAGGCUGUGAAUACUGGUUCACUUGCUUGGGCUAUGGCCUCUGCUUUUGGGUAUUUCUUUAUCUUUUUAGCAUGGGGUGGUUAAGUUUUCAUAAUUAAUUUGAUCCCACCAUAUUUAAUGUUUCUGUUGAUUACUGGGAAGAGAUUGUAUGCAGCUUAUAAUUGCACUUAUAUUUUGGGGAUGUUGCUUGCAAUGCAAAUUCGUUUGUCGGUAUCCAACAUGUGCAGUCUGGAGAACAUAUGGCUGCAAUGGGAGUGUUUUUCUUGAGGCAGUUAACACUUUUUUGUUACCCCAUCUCCUAAGAAGAUCCCUUCUCCCUCUUUAGGUUGGAAAGCAUGAAUAAAGGCAUGUUGAAUUUGGAGAAGAAACAAUGGAAGAGAAGCAGGCAAAAGAAGUUUCAGUUGCUUACAAUAGCAAGCCUCGAGUACCCGAAGUCAUAGUUAUGUAGAUAUGAAAUUGUGCUCAUAUCCAACUAAUCAUGUUGUAUAUAUCUGCUUAUGUCUCAUAGAUCAUACAUAGAAAUUCCAAAAUAGCUCCAGAUUCAUUUGCUUCUAUAUUAAAAAUUCUUCGCUUGGCCACAUAAAUUACAGGUGCACAAUGCUGUUGCUGUGGCUAGAUUACUUAAUGCAAUAGUUUUUCUUUCGAAAAUUAUCUACAGCACUAUUUGGAUAAAUAGUGAGUGAAAUACUUCAUUUCGUACAAAAUGGGGCAUUAGAUUUAUAUGUAACAUUUUUUUUUUCAUUUGUUUAACGUACUCUUAAUUCUUCACAUCAAAUUCAAAUACAUUUUCUUUUACAUUUCUAAAGUGACCGUCUAUAUGUUAUUGAAAUUGUACAAAGUGCAUGCAUGGUUUAAAUUGCUUAUGGUCGAUAUGCCGUCAAUAGAUUACUUAAUCUCUUCCUCCAUUCUAAAUACACGAAAUUUAAUUUGAGUUUUCCUGUUAGGUUUCAAUUAGUAUUUAACCCUUCCAAUUAUGGAAUUAUCACUAGUAGAGAUUUUUUCCACAGUGUAUCUAUUAUUGUACUCCGAAAGAUAAAAAGUAAAGAUGAGACAAGUGGUAAUUUUCUUCUUUCUUCAUAUUCUUUUCAUGGUUCAUUAUUUACUUUAUGGGAAAAAUCAUGUGAAAAUUUAACUCAUCAAAUUCAAACUUACUUCUAAAUUCAAUCCUUAUUUUUCUUAUGCUUUCCGUGCAGGAUUUUAAUGAGUAUUCUAGUUGUCUAUUUCGAUAGCUACUAUUAAAAGGAAAUGUUAGAAUCUCAGGUAAUUGUGCACAUUAUUCCAUAUUUUUUACCUUAAAAGUGUCCACUAAACACUUCGCAAAUUCCAUUUUUAUUUCUCGCUAUUCUCAUUUACUGUUACUCUCGGACGUAUCCAUUUAAAUUGGAUGACCGAUUUGUUUGCCACUAAAUACAACCCAAGUAUUCUAUUGCAUUUGAUUUCACAAUGAUGCUCUACAAAUUUUAUUAUUUAGCUCGAGUAUGUAUGAAAUAGUUUAUGACAAGUUCAGGUUAAACUAUCACAAUUUAAGCCACGAACAUACAUACUUGACCAUGUUACUUUUUGGUUCAAUACUUAUCGCAUAAGUCAUACCUAUGAAUUACGAUGGUAGAAUACAAUGCAUCAUGGAAAGAAUUACUUGUAUUGCUCAGAAUGAUCUUCGAUUAUAAAGCCUUUUGUUAAGUGCACUAUAGAGGUUAUGACUUGCUCUUUGUAUCGUUAGUCACACUCUUGUUAAAAAUGGGCCUGCAAGCCUUAAGUGCAAAACCAAUUGUAAAGCAAAGAAGGUUAUUACUUAUUUAGAAUUAUUAGUCAAAUUCAUCAACAAGAAAGUAACAGAAGAGUCCAGUUUAUGGUUUUGUUGCAUUUCUUUCAUCAACUUAUUACUCAAGUGAAACUGCAUUUUGCUCUGUAAUUUCCCUUUAUGCAGUAAAAGCUCUUUUCUCAGUAAAGGAUUCGUAUGGAGGGAGAGAAAAUUGUUAGAUUUAUUUGAUAUAUUUUUUAUGUUAGCAUUCUACGAUCACCUAGAAGAUUGAGUGUCUGAAAUGAACAUUAUAUUCUAAAAAUGCUAUAUAACACUAUGGAGGAAUAACUUAUUGGUUUUCCAAGCCCGUCGACCACAUUAUUAAUUCUGCUACAAAUUCAAAUUAUAUGUCGGCCAGUCAGAUAUCAUUUCCUAUUGUUUUCUAAGGUCCAAAUGGUACUACUGCAGGUGUUGGGGCUCAACAUUCCCAGGUAUGAGGUUCGUUUCGUCUGUCAUUAUUUUCUUAACAAUAUCAUGCUUGAUGCUUCAGAUAAAGUCACUAUAAUCUUUUGUUAACAUCAACGAACUGUUCUCUUGUUUUUUCUUUCUCGUCUGGAAUGGUAAAAGGAGUGUGUAUGUCCACAAGGAUACUUUCUUUUGGUGGGAAAGUCAGCUCAGUUUUUAAAUUAUGAUAAAACUAUAAUACCCAAAAAAAAAAAUAUAGAUGGUGUACCUUGUGGACUAUUUUCACAAUCAUCCAUAUCUUUCCAUACUUGCUCUAUAAGAUUAAUAAAGAAAGUACUGGACCUGGUAGAAAACUUUGUUAAUGCUGUUGCUGUUGCUGUUGCUGUUGCUGCUGCUUUGGUUAAAGAAAAGCACAGUGGGAAGUGUAAUUAACUGGAGUCCAACUUUGUACAGAUUUAUGUAAAGUCAAUAAAGAGGUUCUUGAGAAUUUAGAUAGGUAAGUAGACAAUUGCUGUCUUUAUGUCCUAAAAUUAUUUAUAAGAAGCUAAAAUAUAGCGAAUUGAUGCCGACAAUUAAAUUGUAAGAUGAGAUUUCCUUAUAUUCUGUUCGAACAAUAUCGUUGUUUGGAAAAUAUGCUUCA
This is a long non-coding RNA of Olea europaea var. sylvestris, 5723 nucleotides long. RefSeq lists it as uncharacterized. NCBI's taxonomy places the organism in Eukaryota, Viridiplantae, Streptophyta, Magnoliopsida, Lamiales, Oleaceae. The record is from RefSeq and is a predicted model, not a curated record. The transcript has 3 exons.